RNAcentral lists this long non-coding RNA (1503 nucleotides) under Mus pahari (shrew mouse). RNAcentral's name for it is "lncRNA (MGP_PahariEiJ_G0004048.1)". Lineage: Eukaryota; Metazoa; Chordata; Mammalia; Rodentia; Muridae. The record is from RNAcentral.
GGCACAUCGAACACCAGGCGUCGAAGCAGGUGCUGCAGCAUGGACGGGCGGAUAUACCUGAGGACAAGCCCAGAGAGGGCGGAGAUCUUACGCGAGGCCCCGCCUUGGCGACCCCGCCCACUCCCUCCGCCGCCAUCGGCCCCUCCUCACCUGCACAGCGCCAUGAGGCAAUCCUCGAUGACGUCGCGCUGUGCUUUACAGGUAGCUAAGGUGAUCAAACAUGGAGCGCUGGUUCUGCCGGCUGAUUCGGCAGAAGUAGCAGAGGAAGCGGCAGCAGCUGGUCACCAUCUUGGGGAAGCGGAUCUCCUGCAGGGAGCAGACAGGGAGGGCCAGUGUAGUCAUCAGUAUGAGGGAAACUGAAGACACUUCACUUUUUCCAACAGGCUCAUGAGGCGGCUGCCCAGAGUACUCUCCUCCUCUGGCUCCUCCUCCUCUCCCUCCAGCUGGAUUCCUGGAGGUGGGUAAGACAGUAUGGGACGCCACUCUAGUGCUUGCUUAUUCAUCUGUUCAUUCAUUCAUUCACUCACUGACGCAUUCACUAAUCCAUUUAUUCAUUCACUCACUCAUUCAUUAGCCCAUUCAUUCAUUCACUCACUCACUCAUUAGCCCAUUCACCCACUCACUCACUCAUUCAUUCACUCAUUCAUUAGUCCAUUCAUUCACUCACUCACUCUCUCAUUCGUCCAUUCAUUCACUCACUCAUUCAUUAAUCCAUUCAUUCAUUCAUUCACUCACUCAUUCCAUUCACUCACUCAUUCAUUAGCAUCCAAUCAUCUGUCCCCUUCUCACUUAGGCAAAUUCUCUGGGAAGUUCUCCUCUUCUCCCUAUGCCCAUGUGUUUACUGACUAAGUCGUUCUGUGAAGAAUAAUCUAGAUUGAUCUAGAAUUCCUUGUCCUGCUUCCACCUCCCACGUGAUGGGAUGACCGUUGUGUGCUGACAUGCCUGGCUAUACUGAUUUUUAUUAAUUUGGGGGAAAAAUUGUUGGGUUUUUGAGACAGGAUCAUGUUGGCCAGACUUGGUCUUCAACUAGUUAUGUAGCCCAGGCUAGCCUCAAACUUGAGGUGAUUCUCCUGCUGCAGCCUCCUGAGUAGGAAGAGCGCUGAUACAAACCACCAUUCCCAGAAGCAGUGUCUUUCAGAGCAACAGGACAGAGGGGAAAGAAAAGAACAAAGUGUCGAAAGAAUAAAAAGGCAGGGCUGGAGAGGUGGCUCUUCCAAAGGUCCUGAGUUCAAAUCCCAGCAACCAACCACAUGGUGGCUCACAACCAUCUGUAAUGGGAUCUGAUGCCCUCUUCUGCUGUGUCUGAAGACAGCAACAGUGUGCUCACAUAAAAUAAAUAAAUCUUUUUUACAAAAAAGAUAGGGACUAACUUCUGCAAGCUGUCCUCUAACUGUUGCACAGAUGCACACACACACACACACUCACAUACAUACACUUAUAUCACACUCACAUACACUUCACACAUUAAUAUCUUUAAAGCAGGCUGCAGAGAUUUACUAAUCU